CUCAGCGGGACUUUGUAAUACUAUGUGCACUCCCUCAUGUGUUACUAUUAUACAAAACAGGAAACAAAAUUGGACAUACUGGUUAAUGCUUCAACCAAAUUUACUCGCUCAAGAACAUUUCCAUAGUUUUUCUGCUUUGUUUUUUUUUACACAUUUAAUUAUUGUAAUUAUUUCCUGAUAUCUGGGAUAUAUACGACCUGUCCUGUGUAAGUGGAGGAGAGUAAAACGUAUUUGGAUUGAGACAUGGAGCAGCUCUUUUUUCUUAUCAUUCCCCUGUUUGCAUCUUCAUCCAUAAUCUCAGCAGAAGUCCAAACUGAAAAAACAAUGACUUCUACUUUUUCAUCUCAAUAUGAGAAUGGCAUGACCAGCCACACCUCAAAAACUGUGAGCAUAACCACAGCUCCUGUAUCUUCUAGCCACACAGUGGGUGUUUCCGUACUUCCAAACACAGCUAAUUCAAACAUCAGCCUGUCUGAGGGGACGCCAACACCUUCACAGGCACCAGACAGCGGCCUCACUUUGCUCGCCUUUGGUGUGAUGAGUCUUAUACUAAUUUUAAUUGUUGUCAUGGUGGUCUUGGUGACUGCUAUCAACCUCAGGGGACGGUGUAGAGACACCAAACAGCAUGAGGGUGGGUUUCUCUCUAAUUCUGUCAGUUUCAAG
RNAcentral lists this long non-coding RNA (663 nucleotides) under Sinocyclocheilus grahami. RNAcentral describes it as "lncRNA (ENSSGRG00000014461.1)". Lineage: Eukaryota; Metazoa; Chordata; Actinopteri; Cypriniformes; Cyprinidae. The record is from RNAcentral.